This 394-nucleotide unclassified non-coding RNA is filed under the name fungal sp. Its description in RNAcentral is "partial internal transcribed spacer region". The stretch from base 1 to 46 matches the Rfam family "Eukaryotic small subunit ribosomal RNA", at positions 1786 to 1831 of the family's 1831-position model. Lineage: Eukaryota; Fungi. The record is from RNAcentral.
AAGUCGUAACAAGGUUUCCGUAGGUGAACCUGCGGAAGGAUCAUUAACACGUAUCCAAACGUUAAAACCCCCCCCGUGAACCUUCAUCCUGCUCUUGUAACCCGCGUAGUUCGCAAUCUCUGAUAAAUCAUAGCCCGGAAAGUUGUAGUGAUUCAGAGACCUCUGGCUACGUGCGAACAUUGGAACAGUUACAAUCGAGCGGUAGUUCUAUAGGCAAUGUUUCCCCAAGCGGUCUACAGGAAUCGUAGAAGCGCCAUCCUUGCACAAUCAAUGACACCGUACACUCGGGCAGGAGCUUUGCCAGGGUCCCCAUACCCCCUAAUAACCCCACAGUUUAAUGUGAAGCUCAAUGUAAUAACCGAACAAACUGUUAACAAUGAAUAUCUUGGUUCUC